CAGAAAGUGUCAUCAACUUUGUUAAUGAUUAAUGCAUUUCAUGUUAUAAAAAAAGAAAAUUUUAAUUAUUUUUCAGGGAUACUGCAUUGAUAAGGGUCGGCGGGAAUAAAAAAGCAUGAAAAGUCAAUUUUAUUUUUAUUCUGAAAAUCGGCAAAAUCGGGUCGGCGGAUCCGUAAACCAACAAAUAAAAAAACCGUGGUAGCACAUGUCAAAUUAAUUCCAGUCAGACAAACAGCUCGUGCAAAUGAAUUUGGGCCAGGGAAUCCCAUGAAAAAAAAAUUCAGUAGUGAAAGUGUUCUGCCAUUUGCUACUUCACUGACAAAAAUGUAAAUUCAAAAAAAAUAAAAUAUCUUUUUUAAAUGAUUACAGGCAGUCGAGACAUUUUGUCGCAAAGUGGCUGUCACAAAAACAAGGAUGAAAAUUCAGAGUUUACCUUGGGC
Molecule: long non-coding RNA, 440 nt
Filed under: Mytilus galloprovincialis (Mediterranean mussel)
Lineage: Eukaryota; Metazoa; Mollusca; Bivalvia; Mytilida; Mytilidae
Source: RNAcentral